Long non-coding RNA from Enhydra lutris kenyoni (northern sea otter), 631 nucleotides. RefSeq lists it as uncharacterized. The transcript has 2 exons. The record is from RefSeq and is a predicted model, not a curated record. NCBI's taxonomy places the organism in Eukaryota, Metazoa, Chordata, Mammalia, Carnivora, Mustelidae.
ACCCAGGCGUCCCUGCUUUGUGUAUUUUAAAUUGCAGGACCAGACGUCUCCACGGAGGCAAAGAAACCCCAGAGCGCACGCAAGGCGGCUUUUGUAAAUGCCACCCAGUGGUGCCUUCUUCAGUUCUGUGUCCAGAACCACCCCCCCUUGGUUUCUGUCCUCGCGGAUUCCGACCAUCUACAGUUAAGUAAGGCAGAGACUUUGAGAACCUCUUCCCCAUCCCCAGGUCAGGUCUACGACGAGUCUUAUUCCCUGGAUCCUACAUCCAGGGUAUUUGGUAUCUCCUUGGAAACAGCCCUCGAUGCCGGGGUUCCCCCAACUCCAGCCACAUUGACUUCUUCUGCACAAAUUCCAGACUCUCGUUUACUUUAAGAAUCCCAAACUGUUCGGCCAACCAUCACACAUCCCCCUCAGUUCUUGUUAAUCUUCUCGCCUGGUAGACUGAGCUUUGUUUUUUUUGUUUGUUUGUUUGGUUUGGUUUGGUUUAGGCUUUGGUUUUGAUUUCCUGCCAUCCGAGAGCUGGGAUUUUUCUCAAAACCAAGGCCACAGUGUUACCCAUGCAUCUGGACAUCAGGUUUCCCCCACGUCUGUUGUGGCAGCAGCUAAAAUAAAGCCUUGUUUCACUGCUUCC